CCAAUCCCUCCCUUGUGUUGCUAGGACUCAGUUCAAUUCAGUUCAACCGAUUCGUGUACGUUAAGUCCUGUUUAUAAAAUGUAGUGUAGAUUAUAAAGCAAAAUGAGGACAUGUUUUCCACACCACCGGUUGAGUCUGCUUUGCCUCUUCUUGUCAGAGAUCUUCAGCUCUAUUGGUGACUCUUUAGUUCAGGAGGUGUUCGGUGCUGUAGGCGACUCUGUUACGUUUUCUUUACAUGUUCCUGUUUCUGGGACUAUAAUUUAUAAAGAUGAAACAGUUGGACUGGUGUUUAAUAAUCAAAGUGAGAUAAACGGUGAGACGUUUGUGAAUCGUCUUCAUUGGCACAAUCAGAUUGGGUUCUUCACUCUCUCAGACCUGAGACCAGAUGAUUCAGGACUUUACACAGUUGAGAGCACUAAAGUCCAAAAGGGAAAACAGGAGUAUCAUCUGGAUGUGUACGAGAGAGUUUCAGCUCCUCGAGUGAAGAAGACUUUCAGUUCUUCAGAGUUCUGUUCAUUACUGUGUUCUGUGAGGAACGUCAGAGGACUGAAGCUCGUCUGGUCUGAAGAUCACAUUUUAUUAAACCAAACUAUCAGCAACUCCACAUCAAACACCGCACUGAGUCUACAUCUAGAAAUAAAUAAGACGGACAAAGACAGACAGAGAAACUUUAGCUGUGUGGCUUCCAACCCAGUCAGUAAGGAGACGACUACAUUCAACGUCACAAAAGUCUGCUCUCUGAACAAAGGUACUCAGCCAAACCAUAUUACGAUUCCAGUUGUAGUGUCUGUGAUUUUACUCGUCUGUGUAAUCGUGAUGUUUGUGUAUCUGAAGAAAAGGAAAAAUGAAGCCAGUCGCCGUACAGAAGGCAGACUCCUCUGCAACUGAAGGACUGAAUGAAGAAAUACAGUAUUCUGAGAUAAAUCAUAUUAAACCCACUCAGACAAAUAUACGAGAACAUGCCGAUGAGGAAGUGUGUCAACUAACCACCAUUUACGACCGAAUUAGACCCGAGAGAACGUCAGAGAGCAGCACUCAAUGAAACAGAGUUGAAGGAUGUGAAUAUAUUAUAUAUUUAACACAUUUUUAAAUAUAAUUGUGUUUAUGCAGACGCUCAUCAUUCACAUAAAAGGAAGUUUUCUGCUUAACAGAUGCCUUUUUUGUUUAAUGCCACAGGCAAUAAUAAUUUUCCAUUAAGUUCUCUGAAUUUCGUUACGAACUUCAUUUAUUUAAAUAAACUCCUUAUUCUACUACAAAAAGAGCGUUUGUAUGAUUGUUAUUUCCAGUGUUCUGCUUUUCCAUGUGCGUGUUCUGGCAGUUUGAACAGCAGCUGAAUGUGACAGUGUGCAGCUGUUUCUUUAUCUGAUGUGGUAGUAAAACGCACAGAGAGGCACCACAGGAUGUCAUUAACACCAGGAUAAUGUCUUCAGUUCCUCUUUCAUGCUGUGGGAUUGAGUCCAGGUGGAUUCUGUAAUUCACUGAGAUGAAAUACAGGAGGAGAAUAUAGACAGACACACUGACAGACACACCGACACUGACAGACACACUGACACUGACAGACACACUGACACUGACAGACACACUGACAUGCAGCAGACACACUGACAGACACACUGACAGACACACUGACAGACACACAGACAGACACACAGACAGACACAUUGACAGACACACUGACAGACAGACACACAGCCCAACACAUUGACAGACAGACACACUGACAGACACACUGACAGGGACUGGGGUACUGACACAAAUAAAAAAAUCUUCAUUUUUCCAAUUUUUCAUUUUUUAUAAAUUCACUCUGUAAAAAUGUUGAAAACAACAACCAUCAGUUCGGAGUUAAACCCUGUGCAGUUAUAGAGAUGAAACAUACGUAUGUUCUGUCAUUUUAAUAUUUUUUAAUACACCUGAAUACUUUAUACACCUUCGUGUGUUUAAGGUCAGUAUGGUUUCGUUUUGUCACUCAGUUCACCUUCGCCUCCAGCUUUACAGGAUUUGCAUGUGAAUUUGCAUAACCAGUAUUUUACCUGUGAACUCCACAGAACAUCCAGCAUCAUGUGUAAAUAUUUUAGACGUGUGUGUUUGUCAGUUAAAAGUUGUGCUGUAAUAAACUGCAUAACAAAA
This is an RNA transcript of Tachysurus vachellii, 2127 nucleotides long. It is a transcript of the gene named SLAM family member 7-like, with no coding region annotated. The record is from RefSeq and is a predicted model, not a curated record. Lineage: Eukaryota; Metazoa; Chordata; Actinopteri; Siluriformes; Bagridae. The transcript is spliced from 6 exons.